CAUCAUGGUUUUUUCCAAUGAGUUGGCUCUUCGCAGCAGGUGGCCAAAGUACUGGAAAAUCAGCUUCAGCAUCUGUCCUUCCAAAGAAUAUUCAGGUGACCAAGAGCAGAUGUUGACACCAGGGAAAGACCAGAGGGAACUGGAGGGGUGAUGGCCAAAAGGCCCAAUUCCCUGGACUGCUGAUUUUGGAGAACCUUGCCCGGUCUUUGGAAUAGGCCAAGUUGAACAAGUCAGACCUGAAACUUCACGAACUCUCCAAGUUGAGUUCUUGGGCCGAGCAUUUAUAUUUAAUUGUGUGUUGUCACCAGUCAUCUGCUGCUCCAAGAAUACAGAACACUGCUUCCAAAGCAGAUACCUUUUUUGGAGCUGCACUUCCCGAAUCUUGACAACUAGAGUCAAAACGGCGCCUGGCAGCAUAGCUGACAACUGCACACAGGCGAGUGGUUGGAAUCACUCGACUCAAAGAUCUGGAAAGCUUCCACCUCCCUGCAUGCC
Long non-coding RNA from Bos taurus (domestic cattle), 495 nucleotides. Lineage: Eukaryota; Metazoa; Chordata; Mammalia; Artiodactyla; Bovidae. The record is from Ensembl.